RNAcentral lists this ribosomal RNA (417 nucleotides) under uncultured bacterium. Its description in RNAcentral is "bacterial SSU rRNA". It matches the Rfam family "Archaeal small subunit ribosomal RNA", at positions 455 to 871 of the family's 1478-position model. The record is from RNAcentral.
GUGCCAGCAGCCGCGGUAAUACCAGCGGUCCAAGUCGCAACCGCGUUUAUUGGGUCUAAAACAUCCGUAGCUUGUUAUGUAAGUCUUUUGUGAAAUCUGGCAUCUUAAGUGUCGGGCGAGCAUAAGAUACUGCAUGGCUAGAGACUGGGAGACGUAAGGAGUACGGUUCGGGUAGCGGUAAAAUGCGUUGAUCCUUACUGGACUAACGAUAGCGAAGGCACCUUACGAGAACAGAUCUGACGGUCAGGGAUGAAGGCUAGGGGCGCAAAACGGAUUAGAUACCCGUGUAGUCCUAGCAGUAAACACUGCACACUAAACAUCGGUACCUCUUCGAGAGGUAUCGGUGCUGUAGGGAAGCCGGAGAGUGUGCUACCUGGGAAGUAUAGUCGCAAGGCCGAAACUCAAAUGAAUUGACGG